This 306-nucleotide unclassified non-coding RNA is filed under the name Pelagibacterium halotolerans. Its description in RNAcentral is "Long range pseudoknot". The record is from RNAcentral. Lineage: Bacteria; Pseudomonadati; Pseudomonadota; Alphaproteobacteria; Hyphomicrobiales; Devosiaceae.
ACCCAUGACUAUGACGUGAAGAUGCGCGCACUGGAAAAGUUCAUCGGCGAAGGCGACAAGGUGAAGGUCACCAUGCGGUUUCGCGGGCGUGAAAUGGCGCACCAGAACAUCGGGCUCGAAUUGCUCCACAAGGUCAAGGACCAGUUCGAGGAGAUCACCAAGGUCGAAUCCAACCCACGCGCCGAAGGGCGCCAGAUGGUCAUGGUGCUCGCGCCGCGCUGAGCCUCCAUAUCCCAUCGUUCGCACAUGCAAAGGUGGCCGCAGGGCCGCCUUUAUUUUUGCGCCGCCGAUCGUCACAGGGCCGUU